RNAcentral lists this ribosomal RNA (165 nucleotides) under uncultured bacterium. RNAcentral describes it as "partial 16S rRNA". It matches the Rfam family "Bacterial small subunit ribosomal RNA", at positions 355 to 511 of the family's 1533-position model. The record is from RNAcentral.
UAGGGAAUCUUCCACAAUGGACGAAAGUCUGAUGGAGCAACGCCGCGUGAGUGAAGAAGGUUUUCGGUAUCGUAAAGCUCUGUUGUUGGUGAAGAAGGAUAGAGGCAGUAACUGGUCUUUAUUUGACGGUAAUCAACCAGAAAGUCACGGCUAACUACGUGCCAA